This is a non-coding RNA of Gossypium raimondii (Peruvian cotton), 107 nucleotides long. The record is from Rfam. NCBI's taxonomy places the organism in Eukaryota, Viridiplantae, Streptophyta, Magnoliopsida, Malvales, Malvaceae.
AAGUCAUGAUAUGGGCACUUGUGCAGCAUGAGCUUAAAGCGCUCCCAUGUCUCGUAUAGUGACUCCCCUUCUAAUUGCAAAAAAUUUGUAAUAUCCAUACGAAGCUU